Long non-coding RNA from Ochotona princeps (American pika), 568 nucleotides. RefSeq lists it as uncharacterized. The transcript is spliced from 3 exons. The record is from RefSeq and is a predicted model, not a curated record. Lineage: Eukaryota; Metazoa; Chordata; Mammalia; Lagomorpha; Ochotonidae.
GUUUAUCAGGAGGCGCCGCAGUUACUCCCAGGCUGCAGAAAUGGUUGGAAGGCAUGGGGAAGGGAACAGGAUGAGCAAAACUAAGACGUUGGGACGGAUUUUCACCUCAAAAACAAGAAUGCUAAACCCACAGCCUGCUGAUUAAUCUGUCUGAAGCCCAUUACAUGUGAAGUUUUUUGUGUACCUUUGUUAAAUCCAACAAAAAAAGCUUAUCUUCAAAGGAAUUUCCCCAGCGUUGUAACUCUGUGUGGCUAAAGCCUGGGUGUUGCUGCUGCAGUCUGCGGCGAUUGACCUAGGAGAGGAACACAGAUGUAUACAGAUGUGGCCCACACCAGCCUUACAGCUGCCAGAAGCUGGUGUACCAGGGAACUUUCCCAACAGCUACAUAACAAAUGAGAUUAGUUUGGUCAUUGACUUUCGAGUUAGAGCUGGAAGACAUUGGAACUUUGAGGUUUUUGUUAGCUAUACCUGUCCAGGGUAUAUUAAAUAGAAGAACAAAUAACUCUGCUACAGACAAUGCAAGAUUUUCUUCUUCCUAUCCAGUUCCUUAUGGUAGAGCAACAUUCUG